UACGUAGGGUGCAAGCGUUGUCCGGAAUUACUGGGCUUAAAGGGUGCGUAGGCGGCUUUGUAAGUCCUUGGUGAAAUUUUGUAGCUUAACUAUAAACAUGCCAAUGAUACUGUGAGACUAGAGUGAAAUUGAGGUACGUGGAACUAGUGGUGUAGCGGUGAAAUGCAUAGAGAUCACUCAGAACACCAGUUGCGAAGGCAGAGUACUGAAUUUUAACUGACGCUGAGGCACGAAAGUGUGGGGAGCAAACAGG
This 253-nucleotide ribosomal RNA is filed under the name uncultured bacterium. Its description in RNAcentral is "partial 16S ribosomal RNA". It matches the Rfam family "Bacterial small subunit ribosomal RNA", at positions 524 to 776 of the family's 1533-position model. The record is from RNAcentral.